Ostertagia ostertagi is the source of this 72-nucleotide non-coding RNA. Lineage: Eukaryota; Metazoa; Nematoda; Chromadorea; Rhabditida; Trichostrongylidae. The record is from the annotation of a GenBank genome assembly.
AGUCCGCUGGUGCAAAAGGCAGUACAUUUGCAGAUGAAUGCAAAUAUGCGGGUUCGAAUCCCGCUUGGGCAA